UCGUGCUAAGCGGGGAGCUGGCGGUGCCCUGUACCCGAAAUCCGCCUACGCGGGGUCGAAUACCUGCCUGAGGUCCUGUCCUCUUGGGGUCUGACUCGCGCAUGUGGUGUUGACGAUUGGGCCCUAUGCAACGGAACAAUCCGAACCUCGUCAGGUCCGGAAGGAAGCAGCGAUAAGGGUUCUCUUCCGUGUGCCGUAGAUAACCCGAUCUGAGCUAACAGCGCAAGUAACGCCUGGGAAGCUCUAUCGAAGGCAGGUUGCACGA
This 265-nucleotide signal recognition particle RNA is filed under the name Armatimonadetes bacterium CG2_30_59_28. Its description in RNAcentral is "signal recognition particle sRNA large type". It matches the Rfam family "Bacterial large signal recognition particle RNA". From Rfam's summary of the family: The signal recognition particle (SRP) is a universally conserved ribonucleoprotein involved in the co-translational targeting of proteins to membranes. Archaeal SRP consists of a 7S RNA and homologues of the eukaryotic SRP19 and SRP54 proteins. In most bacteria, the SRP consists of a 4.5S RNA and the Ffh protein (a homologue of the eukaryotic SRP54 protein). RNAcentral also lists the same sequence under 4 other names. Lineage: Bacteria; Bacillati; Armatimonadota. The record is from RNAcentral.